CGGGAAGUAGCUCAGCUUGGUAGAGCACAUGGUUUGGGACCAUGGGGCCGCAGGUUCGAAUCCUGUCUUCCCGACCA
Molecule: transfer RNA, 77 nt
Filed under: Cerasibacillus quisquiliarum
Lineage: Bacteria; Bacillati; Bacillota; Bacilli; Caryophanales; Bacillaceae
Also listed under: 4 other names
Description: tRNA-Pro
Rfam family: tRNA
About the family: Transfer RNA (tRNA) molecules are approximately 80 nucleotides in length. Their secondary structure includes four short double-helical elements and three loops (D, anti-codon, and T loops).
Source: RNAcentral